UACGUAGGGGGCAAGCGUUAUCCGGAUUUACUGGGUGUAAAGGGAGCGUAGACGGCUGUGCAAGCCAGAUGUGAAAGCCCGGGGCUCAACCCCGGGACUGCAUUUGGAACUGUGUAGCUGGAGUGUCGGAGAGGCUGGCGGAAUUCCUAGUGUAGCGGUGAAAUGCGUAGAUAUUAGGAGGAACACCAGUGGCGAAGGCGGCCUGCUGGACGAUGACUGACGUUGAGGCUCGAAAGCGUGGGGAGCAAACAGG
Molecule: ribosomal RNA, 253 nt
Filed under: uncultured bacterium
Lineage: Bacteria
Description: partial 16S ribosomal RNA
Rfam family: Bacterial small subunit ribosomal RNA
Source: RNAcentral